This 271-nucleotide ribosomal RNA is filed under the name Bacillus pumilus. RNAcentral describes it as "partial 16S ribosomal RNA". It matches the Rfam family "Bacterial small subunit ribosomal RNA", at positions 1071 to 1343 of the family's 1533-position model. Lineage: Bacteria; Bacillati; Bacillota; Bacilli; Caryophanales; Bacillaceae. The record is from RNAcentral.
GAUGUUGGGUUAAGUCCCGCAACGAGCGCAACCCUUGAUCUUAGUUGCCAGCAUUCAGUUGGGCACUCUAAGGGGACUGCCGGUGACAAACCGGAGGAAGGUGGGGAUGACGUCAAAUCAUCAUGCCCCUUAUGACCUGGGCUACACACGUGCUACAAUGGACAGAACAAAGGGCUGCGAGACCGCAAGGUUUAGCCAAUCCCACAAAUCUGUUCUCAGUUCGGAUCGCAGUCUGCAACUCGACUGCGUGAAGCUGGAAUCGCUAGUAAUC